Molecule: non-coding RNA, 265 nt
Organism: Xyrichtys novacula (pearly razorfish)
Lineage: Eukaryota; Metazoa; Chordata; Actinopteri; Labriformes; Labridae
Source: the annotation of a GenBank genome assembly
GACUGACACAACAGCAGACUGACUGUUUUUCAGUUCUGAUUAGACACUAGUGUUGAGAUGUCUGUCUGUCAUGAUAGCAUGUACUGAGUCGGGGCCAGUACCAGAUAAGCACAUUAAACUAUAAUCCAUAAACGUAAGGUAACAACCGAGACCUAAUGGUGCUGUGACAGCAACGCGAUUGAGUUUGAGACAGUGAAAAUACAUAUGGUAUGUUGUUUCUGAACAGAUUAGCUUACGAGCUAAAGUUACUUAGCACAGAUGAAAG